GAGACGGCGAGAAAGCAAAGGCAACGAGAGAAUAAAAGCGAGAAGGCGGAAGGGAGAGGAACGGCGGUGACGCCACGACGUAUUUAUAGGCAGCGGUCCGCCAACGGACAGAUCCGAGAAAUAAGGUAACUCCCUCCCUUAAAUGCGCCACCUAAUCGUCUCUUUCCCACACAGGCAUGGCGUCCCGAAUUCCACGCCGACGCAGUGUCGUAACGUCAUCCGCCUAAAAAGGCGCGCCCAACAGGCAGAAAGGCGAACCGCC
RNAcentral lists this long non-coding RNA (262 nucleotides) under Sorghum bicolor (sorghum). RNAcentral describes it as "long non-coding RNA (SBIC_LNC008381)". The record is from RNAcentral. Lineage: Eukaryota; Viridiplantae; Streptophyta; Magnoliopsida; Poales; Poaceae.